Long non-coding RNA from Aricia agestis (brown argus), 159 nucleotides. RefSeq lists it as uncharacterized. The transcript has 3 exons. The record is from RefSeq and is a predicted model, not a curated record. NCBI's taxonomy places the organism in Eukaryota, Metazoa, Arthropoda, Insecta, Lepidoptera, Lycaenidae.
AUCAAGAAGCCAGUGCGGUCAGUGAAGAAAGAUGUCCAAGUCGAAGGCUUCAAGCAUCGCCGAUGGGGCCGAACGAGCGAGUCAAACCGGAGUCCAGACGAGAAGCGGAGCAUCGACGCGCCCCGCGGCUCCACCGGUUAUAGCAGAGAUGGAAAAUUA